This 74-nucleotide transfer RNA is filed under the name SAR324 cluster bacterium. RNAcentral's name for it is "tRNA-Trp". It matches the Rfam family "tRNA". Rfam says of the family: Transfer RNA (tRNA) molecules are approximately 80 nucleotides in length. Their secondary structure includes four short double-helical elements and three loops (D, anti-codon, and T loops). Further hydrogen bonds mediate the characteristic L-shaped molecular structure. tRNAs have two regions of fundamental functional importance: the anti-codon, which is responsible for specific mRNA codon recognition, and the 3' end, to which the tRNAs corresponding amino acid is attached (by aminoacyl-tRNA synthetases). tRNAs cope with the degeneracy of the genetic code in two manners: having more than one tRNA (with a specific anti-codon) for a particular amino acid; and 'wobble' base-pairing, i.e. permitting non-standard base-pairing at the 3rd anti-codon position. The record is from RNAcentral. RNAcentral also lists the same sequence under 1 other name. Lineage: Bacteria; Deltaproteobacteria.
AGGCCAGUAGCUCCAAUCGGUAGAGCACCGGUCUCCAAAACCGGCUGUUGGGGGUUCGAGUCCCUCCUGGCCUG